This 243-nucleotide ribosomal RNA is filed under the name uncultured bacterium. RNAcentral's name for it is "partial 16S ribosomal RNA". It matches the Rfam family "Bacterial small subunit ribosomal RNA", at positions 567 to 793 of the family's 1533-position model. The record is from RNAcentral.
GCAUGCAGGUGGUUUGUUUAAGUUCAGAUGUGAAAGACCCGGGGCCGUCAACCUACCGGAAUAAGCAUUUGUAAACUAGGCAGACUAGAGUACUGUAGAGGGGGGUAGGAAGUUUACUAGGUGUAGCGGUGAAAUAGCGUAGAGAUCUGAAGGAAUACCGGUGGCGAAGGCGGCCCCCUCGGACAGAUACUGACACUCAGAUGCGAAAGCGUGGGGAGCAAACAGGAUUAGAUACCCUGGUAG